UGUGCCCUACGGGGCGCAGCAGUGAGGAAUAUUGGUCAAUGGGCGGAAGCCUGAACCAGCCACGUCGCGUGAGGGAAUAAGGCCCUACGGGUCGUAAACCUCUUUUGCCGGGGAGCAAGGGCCGGGCCGCGUCCCGGCCCGGAGAGUACCCGGAGAAAAAGCAUCGGCUAACUCCGUGCCAGCAGCCGCGGUAAUACGGAGGAUGCGAGCGUUAUCCGGAUUUAUUGGGUUUAAAGGGUGCGUAGGCGGGCUUUUAAGU
This 259-nucleotide ribosomal RNA is filed under the name uncultured bacterium. RNAcentral's name for it is "partial 16S ribosomal RNA". It matches the Rfam family "Bacterial small subunit ribosomal RNA", at positions 333 to 588 of the family's 1533-position model. The record is from RNAcentral.